Molecule: unclassified non-coding RNA, 320 nt
Filed under: plant metagenome
Description: partial contains 5.8S ribosomal RNA, internal transcribed spacer 2, and large subunit ribosomal RNA
Rfam family: 5.8S ribosomal RNA (bases 1-105)
Source: RNAcentral
GAAACGCGAUAGUUAAUGUGAAUUGCAGAAUUUAGUGAAUCAUCGAGUCUUUGAACGCACAUUGCGCCUAUUAGUAUUCUAGUAGGCAUGCCUGUUCGAGCGUCAUUUCAACCCUCAAGCCCUGGUUGCUUGGUGUUGGGAGCUUGCUGUGAAACGCAACUCCUCAAAGCUAGCUGGCAGAGUCGGGAUGCACUCUAAGCGUAGUAAACUUGAUAGUCUCGCUUCUGCAGUUGUCCCGGCCGUCUUGCCAUAAAAGCCCAAACUUUUUUGUUUUCUAUGGUUGACCUCGGAUCAGGUAGGAAUACCCGCUGAACUUAAGC